UUUGUUCUUGUUUCUCACCAUCCUACUCUAUUUUAAUUAGCAAUAAAUGAAAUUAAUCUUCCCCAAGUCAAGUCUGUUUUGCCUGUGAUGGUACCAGCACAUUUUGCUGA
Long non-coding RNA from Cygnus olor (mute swan), 110 nucleotides. RefSeq lists it as uncharacterized. Lineage: Eukaryota; Metazoa; Chordata; Aves; Anseriformes; Anatidae. The transcript is spliced from 3 exons. The record is from RefSeq and is a predicted model, not a curated record.